GCUUUGCUCUCUGUGCCACUUCUGCUUGCAGUGGCGAGACAGAAUUUGUGGCAUAACAGCCCAGAUGGAAAUAGUGCACACUGAUUCCAGAGGCAGGCCAAAGCUCCAUAACACUUUCCUCAACGGCAUCCUCUUCUGUGUGGAAGAACCCUCCCGAGGCAAUUUCAUCUUCCCAUGAAGCAUUUUCCAGUCCCUCCUCUGCUGCGAGUGCACAGCUGCUGCUUCACAGCUCGAGGCAGGCAUGUGUAAAACAGCAGUUACAUUCAAAGUCUAAGAAAUUGGUUUGUGUGCAUUGGAUGAUUUUCCCUUCUCCAAAACCGGUGUGUGGCUUGUUUUCAUAGAUCCCAGUCUAUGAAAGGCACUAGGAGCCAAUGGGAGCCAUCGUAAUAUAAACGUUAAUUACAUGUGUGACAAUAAUG
Molecule: long non-coding RNA, 419 nt
Filed under: Gallus gallus (chicken)
Lineage: Eukaryota; Metazoa; Chordata; Aves; Galliformes; Phasianidae
Description: long non-coding RNA NONGGAT001096
Source: RNAcentral